UACGAAGGGGGCAAGCGUUGUUCGGAAUCACUGGGCGUAAAGGGCGCGCAGGCGGCCAAUCAAGUCAGGCGUGAAAGCCCCGGGCUCAACCUGGGAAUUGCGCUUGAGACUGAUCGGCUCGAGGACGGGAGAGGAGAGUGGAAUUCCCAGUGUAGAGGUGAAAUUCGUAGAUAUUGGGAAGAACACCGAUGGCGAAGGCAGCUCUCUGGACCGUACCUGACGCUGAGGCGCGAAAGCGUGGGGAGCAAACAGGAUUAGAAACCCCCGUAGUCC
This 273-nucleotide ribosomal RNA is filed under the name uncultured bacterium. RNAcentral describes it as "partial 16S ribosomal RNA". It matches the Rfam family "Bacterial small subunit ribosomal RNA", at positions 524 to 796 of the family's 1533-position model. The record is from RNAcentral.